Molecule: non-coding RNA, 29 nt
Filed under: Mus musculus (house mouse)
Lineage: Eukaryota; Metazoa; Chordata; Mammalia; Rodentia; Muridae
Source: RNAcentral
UCNCAGAUCUGAUGCCUCUGAUGCCUGUA